Molecule: long non-coding RNA, 235 nt
Filed under: Capsicum annuum
Lineage: Eukaryota; Viridiplantae; Streptophyta; Magnoliopsida; Solanales; Solanaceae
Description: long non-coding RNA (CANN_LNC011856)
Source: RNAcentral
GGGGAUACAACAUCCGAAGAUGGUUAGAGGGGUAAUCGCUAGCAUGUAACUCAGGUAAGGGAUAAAAUAAUGUGAAGUCAAAACCACAGUAAAAUCCAUAUGCACACAGUAUACAUACAUAUAUAUAUAAUAUGUUGGGACAGGGAGCAGGUUUUCAUAUGAAAGUAAAACAUUAACCCGGACUGUCUAGCUUUACCAUCAUAAGACACCCACGGGAUAUCUAGGUUUGGCUCCC